UCGAGAAUCUUCCGCAAUGGACGAAAGUCUGACGGAGCGACGCCGCGUGGAGGAUGAAGGCCUUCGGGUUGUAAACUCCUGUCACGAGUUAAGAACGGUUCACGGCGAACAGUCGUGAGCUUUGACGUAAGCUCGAGAGGAAGCACUGGCUAACUCUGUGCCAGCAGCCGCGGUAAUACAGAGAGUGCAAACGUUGUUCGGAAUCACUGGGCUUAAAGCGCGCGUAGGCGGCAUUGUAAGUGUCGGGUGAAAGCCCACGGCUCACCCGUGGAACUGCCCGGCAGACUGCAGUGCUAGAGUGUGGUAGGGGAGAGCGGAACUCCUGGUGGAGCGGUGAAAUGCGUAGAUAUCAGGAGGAACACCGGUGGCGAAGGCGGCUCUCUGGUCCAUAACUGACGCUGAGGUGCGAAAGCUAGGGUAGCGAACGGGAUUAGAUACCCCGGUAGUCCUAGCCGUAAACGAUGGGUACUAGCUUGGGGUCUCCCUGUGUGAUCCCAGGUGAAGCUAAAGUAAUAAGUACCCCGCCUGGGGAGUAUGGUCGCAAGGCUG
RNAcentral lists this ribosomal RNA (549 nucleotides) under uncultured bacterium. Its description in RNAcentral is "bacterial SSU rRNA". It matches the Rfam family "Bacterial small subunit ribosomal RNA", at positions 355 to 896 of the family's 1533-position model. The record is from RNAcentral.